RNAcentral lists this ribosomal RNA (889 nucleotides) under uncultured Dehalococcoides sp. Its description in RNAcentral is "bacterial SSU rRNA". It matches the Rfam family "Bacterial small subunit ribosomal RNA", at positions 103 to 1006 of the family's 1533-position model. The record is from RNAcentral. Lineage: Bacteria; Bacillati; Chloroflexota; Dehalococcoidia; Dehalococcoidales; Dehalococcoidaceae.
CGGGUGAGUAACGCGUAAGUAACCUACCUCUAAGUGGGGGAUAGCUUCGGGAAACUGAAGGUAAUACCGCAUGUGGUGGGCCGACAUAUGUUGGUUCACUAAAGCCGUAAGGCGCUUGGUGAGGGGCUUGCGUCCGAUUAGCUAGUUGGUGGGGUAAUGGCCUACCAAGGCUUCGAUCGGUAGCUGGUCUGAGAGGAUGAUCAGCCACACUGGGACUGAGACACGGCCCAGACUCCUACGGGAGGCAGCAGCAAGGAAUCUUGGGCAAUGGGCGAAAGCCUGACCCAGCAACGCCGCGUGAGGGAUGAAGGCUUUCGGGUUGUAAACCUCUUUUCAUAGGGAAGAAUAAUGACGGUACCUGUGGAAUAAGCUUCGGCUAACUACGUGCCAGCAGCCGCGGUAAUACGUAGGAAGCAAGCGUUAUCCGGAUUUAUUGGGCGUAAAGUGAGCGUAGGUGGUCUUUCAAGUUGGAUGUGAAAUUUCCCGGCUUAACCGGGACGAGUCAUUCAAUACUGUUGGACUAGAGUACAGCAGGAGAAAACGGAAUUCCCGGUGUAGUGGUAAAAUGCGUAGAUAUCGGGAGGAACACCAGAGGCGAAGGCGGUUUUCUAGGUUGUCACUGACACUGAGGCUCGAAAGCGUGGGGAGCGAACAGAAUUAGAUACUCUGGUAGUCCACGCCUUAAACUAUGGACACUAGGUAUAGGGAGUAUCGACCCUCUCUGUGCCGAAGCUAACGCUUUAAGUGUCCCGCCUGGGGAGUACGGUCGCAAGGCUAAAACUCAAAGGAAUUGACGGGGGCCCGCACAAGCAGCGGAGCGUGUGGUUUAAUUCGAUGCUACACGAAGAACCUUACCAAGAUUUGACAUGCAUGUAGUAGUGAACUGAAA